UCCCUGCUGGCUCAGUGGUAAAGAAUUUGCUUGCAGUGCAGGAGACGCAGGUUCGAUUCCUGGGUGGGGAG
Molecule: transfer RNA, 71 nt
Filed under: Bos taurus (domestic cattle)
Lineage: Eukaryota; Metazoa; Chordata; Mammalia; Artiodactyla; Bovidae
Also listed under: 4 other names
Rfam family: tRNA
About the family: Transfer RNA (tRNA) molecules are approximately 80 nucleotides in length. Their secondary structure includes four short double-helical elements and three loops (D, anti-codon, and T loops).
Source: Rfam by way of RNAcentral